AAAUUGAAGGGUUUGAUCCUGGCUCAGAAUGAACGUUGGCGGCGUGGAUUAGGCAUGCAAGUCGUACGGAGGUAGCAAUACCUUAGUGGCGAAAGGGAUAGGAAUACAUAGGUUAUCUGCCCUCAAGUCGCGGAUAGCGGCGGGAAACUGCCGGUAAUACGCGAUGUGUUCUCCGGAACAAAGGUGUGAUUCCGCUUGAGGAUGAGUCUAUGUCCUAUUAGCUAGUUGGCGGGGUAAUUGCCCACCAAGGCUAUGAUGGGUACGAGGCGUGAGAGCGUGUCCUCGAUCACUGGAACUGAGACACUGUCCAGACACCUACGGGUGGCUGCAGUCGAGAAUCUUCGGCAAUGGACGAAAGUCUGACCGAGCGAC
This 372-nucleotide ribosomal RNA is filed under the name Planctomycetaceae bacterium. Its description in RNAcentral is "bacterial SSU rRNA". It matches the Rfam family "Bacterial small subunit ribosomal RNA", at positions 1 to 395 of the family's 1533-position model. The record is from RNAcentral. Lineage: Bacteria; Pseudomonadati; Planctomycetota; Planctomycetia; Planctomycetales; Planctomycetaceae.